ACUCCUACGGGAGGCAGCAGUGGGGAAUAUUGCACAAUGGAGGAAACUCUGAUGCAGCGACGCCGCGUGAGCGAAGAAGGACUUCGUUUCGUAAAGCUCUGUCCUAUGGGAAGAUAAUGACGGUACCAUAGGAGGAAGCCCCGGCUAACUACGUGCCAGCAGCCGCGGUAAUA
RNAcentral lists this ribosomal RNA (173 nucleotides) under uncultured bacterium. RNAcentral describes it as "partial 16S ribosomal RNA". It matches the Rfam family "Bacterial small subunit ribosomal RNA", at positions 335 to 525 of the family's 1533-position model. The record is from RNAcentral.